CCUCUCUCUCCUCCUCUCUCGCUCGGAUCUACUUUUGCUCUGUCUCUCUCUCUUUCAUUCUAUCUCUCUUAUCUCUUCUCGAUAUUCAUCGGAUUCUCAUAAAUCGAAACAAAAACUGUUGAAUCAAGAAUCAAACCAAACAGUUAUUCUUUUUACGUUCAACUGGUGGAAUCAAUCAAGUUGAUUUAAGUAGAUCCGCGGUUCAAGUUUCGUCUUAUGCUUUAAAAAGUCAAAAAAAUUUCAUUCAAAGAAGACAUCAAUCUGGAGCUCAAGAUCUACAAUGAAUGAUGAAUGGUACGGUUUUAACAAAAGCGAAGUCGGGAGUCAUAAAUGAGGAAGCUGGGAUUCAUAACUCAUGAAGUUUCUAAAUUUUUAAAAAUGAAAGACAGAGUACUCGUUGGGGAGUUACAGAGGGACAUGAGGCAGAAGCGAGUAAACUUAUAGAUCAAGAGUUUCAUGUUUCAACAUUGUGAUGAGGAAAUGGAAGACACGAUAAUCAGUUAGUUCUCAGUGCUCUGCGGAGUAAGAGAGGGACAUUAGACAGAAGCUGAAAAGAAGAAUACAACCUUCACAUGACAGCAGACUUGUAAAUGGUUAGUAUUCAUUUUUUUUUUUUUGAAUUGAAUAAUCAAUUAUAUCUCUUAAUAAUUUGAUAGGUGUUUUGAAUUUAAGAUACUCGGUUAGUAGUUUAUUUCCUGAUAAACACUGCCUUAAGUUAAAGUUUGAUACCAAUUGUACUUGCAUUAGUUAAACUAUGAUAAUAGUUUGAUGUUACUUGCAUUUGAUGUUCCUGAUAGUCUUAGAUAAGAAUAGUUUCUGUUAUAAACUGUAGUAGAAUUGGUAGGUUUGACGAAAGAUAAAGAAUAACAAUCUUAAAGGAUAAAAUUUUAGUCUAGAUCCAACAAAUGUUGAUUAUUGGAGAACUUUUUUUAAAUAUUUUAUACAAUCAUACUGUCAUUCUCUAAUUAUUUUUUAUAUAUUACAUGAUCUUGGAUGUUCUCCAAUGUUUGAGGGAAUUCAACGGCAUAAGAAGACAGCAAAAGGGACUGGAAAAAAAUUUACUGUCUGCGGAGUAACAGAAGGAUAUGAGAAAGAAGCUGCAUAAGAAGAGGAACAAAAGUAGUCAUGAUAGACAUUUUUGGGAGGUUUUAGCUUUGAACGAUAUAGUUUGUAGGUGUAGGGGAAGAUGUAUAUAUAGUUAGCGAUGAGAAAGUAGGGUUAACGCGAGAAAAUUUUAUAAAGAUAUUUUUAGUUGUGAUGUUAUCAUUAAAACCGAAUAUACAUAUAUAAUUAUCUUCCUAAAAAUGAUUAUUUU
Molecule: long non-coding RNA, 1315 nt
Organism: Raphanus sativus (radish)
Lineage: Eukaryota; Viridiplantae; Streptophyta; Magnoliopsida; Brassicales; Brassicaceae
Exons: 4
Source: RefSeq, a predicted model, not a curated record